CCUACGGGUGGCAGCAGUGGGGAAUAUUGGUCAAUGGGCGCAAGCCUGACCCAGCAACGCCGCGUGAAGGAAGAAGGCUUUCCGUUUGUAAACUUCUUUUCUCAGGGACGAAGAACGUGACGGUCCCUGCGGCAUACGCCACGGCUAAAUACGUGCCAGCAUCCGCUGUAAUACAUAGGUGGCAAGCGUUCUCCGGAUUUACUGGGUGUAAAGGGCGUUUAGGCCGGGAAGGAAGUCAGAUGUGAAAACCACGGGCUCAACCUGUGGCCUGCAUUUGAAACUGUUUGUCUUGAGUACUUGAGAGGUAGACGGAAUGCCUAGUGUAGCGGUGAAAUGCGUAGAUAUUAGGAGGAACACCAGUGGCGAAGGCGGUCUGCUGGACAGCAACUGACGCUGAGGCGCGAAAGCGUGGGGAGCAAACAGGAUUAGAUACCCCGGUAGUC
RNAcentral lists this ribosomal RNA (443 nucleotides) under uncultured bacterium. Its description in RNAcentral is "partial 16S ribosomal RNA". It matches the Rfam family "Bacterial small subunit ribosomal RNA", at positions 338 to 795 of the family's 1533-position model. The record is from RNAcentral.